This 1598-nucleotide long non-coding RNA is filed under the name Sus scrofa (pig). RNAcentral describes it as "lncRNA (ENSSSCG00060060687.1)". The record is from RNAcentral. Lineage: Eukaryota; Metazoa; Chordata; Mammalia; Artiodactyla; Suidae.
ACCUUUAGUUCAUACUUCCCUCUGUGCUUCAGGAAGAUUCGAGAGGGACUCUAGAUGCCCUGCCAGAUUCUAAAACAGCCCCCGAGUCAGGGGUUUUCCCGGGACUCUGAGCGUGACCUCAUGACGGCAGGAAAACAGCAUUGCCCUGGGUUGCAGUCGGUUCAGUUACGAGCCCGAGGAAGGAGCACCAGCCCCCGGCUCAGCCGUGGCAACAGAGACUGGGCAUUUGGCAAGGUUACGCUCGAGGGCUGAGGAGAGACAGACCGCCGACCUUCAGGCACCGCUCGGCCACUGCACAGCAGAGCAGGCUCCCUUCCAGAGCCAGAGCGCCCUUCCCCAGGUACAUCUUUGGCAAACUGGGAUGUCCAUCUUUGGGGUGUUCCCUUUCCGUGGGUGGGGAGUACAGACUGGCUGCCUGCUCACUCAGCCUAUUUCUUCCUCCCAGGCACAAAGACAGACCACAUCUCCCAGCUUCCUUGUGGUGGGAUGAGAGUUUAGGACUGGAUUCCAACGCCAAUAAAACGUCAGAAAAAAUUAUGCUUGCCACUUACAGGGUCUGCCAUAAAGUAAUGGACAUGGUUGUCCAUGCUUCUCUCCCCUUCCAUGGCAGCCCUAGCAAUCAUGAGGGGAAAAAAAGGAAUGUCACAGGAUGGAAAGAGCCAAGAUCCCUGGAGGAGCACUGCCCACCCCUUGUCAAACUGUAACAUGAGUGGGAAAUAACAUUUUAUUGUAUUGAGCCAUGAGAUUUGGGGUACGUUUGUUAUAGCACCUAAUAUAAAUUAUCCUGACUAAAAUACAACUCUAUGCAAGUAUAUAUGUUAGUAGGAACGCCUUCAAAUACAAGUGACUAAAAAACCAGCCAAAGUGGCAUAAAGAAAUCUAAAGUUGUUUUCCUGCCUAACAAGCAGUCUGGGAAUAGACAAUAUAAGGAUGGAUCAGCUGCUCAAACACACAGACCCUAUCUAUCUUUUUGCUUGGCCAUGCUUGGUCAUUGGCUUUUGUCUUCAGGCUCACCAACUCAUAGUCACAAGAUGGCUGCUGUACCGCUGACAUUUUACUUGCAUCCCAGGCAGGAAGAAAAGAAUAGGAAAAGGGCUGGAGAGAUAUGCCAGCCAAAUCUGUCCCAUCUAUCCAACUUUUACUUACAUUUUAUUCGCCAUAACUCUAUCACAUGCCCUCCUCUGACCAAUGAAUGAUUGGUCCAUGGGAAUGAUAUUAUUAAGCCUGUUUUAGUCCAGUGGUGAUUCAUUUCCUGGGACCGGGGUGGGGGUUCACACUCCCUUUGAUCCGUGAGCCUACAUGACUGCCUAAACAAACUGCAGCUCUGUCGAUGGACGGAAGACUGGAGUGAAACAGAGGGUGGUCAGUAGAGGACGGAAGACUGGAGUGAAACAGAUGGGUGGUCAGUAGAGGCCCCCAGUGGUUGGCAUCCUCCCAUCCUUCCUUCCAUUCACCACAUCCCUUUCUCCAGAAAAGAUUGCCCUUAAGAGAGACCAAAGGCUUUGCUGUACAGCAGAAAUUGACAUAGUAUUGUAAAUCAACGUUACUUUAAUUUAAAAUUUUUUAAUUAAAGAAAUUUUUUAAAUGAGAAACCAAAG